RNAcentral lists this long non-coding RNA (1960 nucleotides) under Mus musculus (house mouse). Its description in RNAcentral is "RIKEN cDNA 4922502B01 gene (4922502B01Rik)". Lineage: Eukaryota; Metazoa; Chordata; Mammalia; Rodentia; Muridae. The record is from RNAcentral.
UUUUUCUUUUUUUUUUUUUCUUUUAAUUGUGGAUUGGCGCGUGCCCCUUUCGCAUGGAAUAUACAAGUAGUUUGGGAUUUACAGUCCAGUUACGGGACUCAGGAUUAACUGCGCUGGCAUCUUUUGGGCAUAUCCUUCCUUUUAAUGAAUAAGCUUUCGCUGUUAAUGAGGAAUAAUCGUUUGGCUAAUGAGCUUUGAAACAUUAAGAGAAAAGAGGUUUUUUCCCCCCGUUAAUCGCUCUGGUGCGACUGCAUGGAUGGAUUACAAAAGACAGCACUAGUGCAGUACAAAGGUUGGGGGAGCUCCUUGGGAGUGGGAGAAGCACCGAGUGGGAGAUGUGCCCCUGCAUCUCUUCUUCCUUCUCUCUUUCCCCUCUCUCUGCCAACUGCUAUGGGUUUCCAUAACUCCGCAAUCGAAGUGGAUGGUCGGGAAGGAUUAUUAUACAGAGUAAAGCCUCCGCUGUUAAUGUCUCCAGUGUUUAAUCAUCAUACAGUAGGAUGGUUUUAUGCAUAUUUCAUUUGCAUAUCAUUAAACUACGUUAGCGAGGGGGCACCCAGAGCCGAGAGGAGCACAAAGUUGGGAAGACAGGGAAGGAAAAAGAGAUUCCCUAUGAUGCUUAUCUUCAAACGGGGGCUUGUUCCUUCCAUGAUGUGUCUUCUGCCUUUCUAAAAUCAUUAUGACUUGGAAACCUUUGAAGUUGGAUACAACCUUGGAUUCCUCUAAUUCCUGCAGAGCGGUAUAUUUUUAAGAUCGGCAGCAAUGUCCCUGCACUAGACAAUUAAAGGAAUAUAAACUCCAGUGGGCUGAGACUAGUAGCUCUUUGGGGAACACAGUGGCAGGAGCUUCUACAAAUACCAACACUUAAAAAAAAUCAUAAUAAAGAACGUCAUACCAAAAACAAAGAAAGAAGACAAGAGAUUUUAACAUGUGGAUUAUAUUUGUUUUGUUUGGGGGGUAAUAAGCUAAAGAGAGUGAAGAAGUCAUUGAUUCGGCAUGGCCACAGAAAGAACAGUAUGACAUGGUUUCCUGUCCAGGAGCAGAGCCAACACAACAUGGGACUUCUCGAGUGCUGACAGUUGCUGUAGGAAUAAGGUAAUAGUUUGGCCUUUUAAUCUGAAAUGAACUACAAUCCAGUAAUGGAGGGCACACUUGUGAUCCAGAUCUUGAGGCUGGAAUAUACAGCGUUUUGAUCCAGAUCUUGAGGAAUAGUGGCCCUGAAAAUCUAACCCUAACCCUGAAAAUCUUAGGACUGGACAAAGUGGUAGACACCAUUAAUCCCAGGAAACAAAGCAAGAAGAUCUACAGUCCACUGUGAAGCAUACUGCGACUGUAAUGGCUCACAGCUACAGUGAAGGCAGGCACGGCCUUGCUCAUCAGACUGCGUCAGUUAUGAUCUAUGUCACAAGACACCCAAAGAGAGCUGAACUGACUGGACAUUCCACAUGACACCACACUGGCCCACUUUGUUGAUGGAUUAUAUUCACCAAAUCUAAUUAAACAAAAUGGGAUGUCUUCAUAAGAGAAAUGUACUCUAUGAGGGGCUCCCAGCUAAACAUCUGCAUUGAGUCUCAGAAAAGGCUUGGGCCUUGGACUUCUGAACAACAUUGGAACUGUCAAUAUUUGGGGUACUCUUGGGGACAGUCUAUGUACAAUUUGUAUUGUGAGGUGGCCAUAAACCUUUCCGGGCUAAGAGCAGAACACUAUCAUCUGAAAAUGGAAUCUACUUGACAAGCCCAGGUUUUAGACCCUUGGUACCCAGCUUAGGAGGUGGGAGAACUUAGGCAGAGAAAGUAGAUCACUGGACAUGGAUCUUUGAAGACCCAGAAUUGGGUCUCAUCACUUACUGUUUGCCAUCCACCAUGAGGUGAGUAGCCUCUGUCACAUGUUCCUGCUGCAUGGUAUUCGGCUUCAUCGAGUUUUAUCAAGAACUAACGAAGUCAGACCAUGGACACAGCCAAAA